RNAcentral lists this ribosomal RNA (185 nucleotides) under Pseudomonas aeruginosa. Its description in RNAcentral is "partial 23S ribosomal RNA". It matches the Rfam family "Bacterial large subunit ribosomal RNA", at positions 2746 to 2925 of the family's 2925-position model. The record is from RNAcentral. RNAcentral also lists the same sequence under 2 other names. Lineage: Bacteria; Pseudomonadati; Pseudomonadota; Gammaproteobacteria; Pseudomonadales; Pseudomonadaceae.
UAGCUAAAUGCGGAAGAGAUAAGUGCUGAAAGCAUCUAAGCACGAAACUUGCCCCGAGAUGAGUUCUCCCUGACUCCUUGAGAGUCCUGAAGGAACGUUGAAGACGACGACGUUGAUAGGCCGGGUGUGUAAGCGCAGCGAUGCGUUGAGCUAACCGGUACUAAUGAACCGUGAGGCUUAACCUU